Ictalurus punctatus (channel catfish) is the source of this 2043-nucleotide long non-coding RNA. The record is from Ensembl. Lineage: Eukaryota; Metazoa; Chordata; Actinopteri; Siluriformes; Ictaluridae.
GGACAGCGAGAGGAGAACACGUGCUUGAGAUAAAGAGAGAAAGAUUCCUGCCAUGGAGAACACCACCACAUUGUCCUGCAGAAACAUUUCUGAUGGUGAUGGUUACACUUACAAAGUGCCGUCUUAUAUACCAUCUGCUCUACUGCAGGACGAGGACUGUGAGCAAGAGUGGAAAAAUAAGGCAGGGGAGUUUUUGUCAGAUGGACAUCAUCAUGCAAAUAAAACUGAGCACCCACUGGUUCGUAAUGAAACCAUAAAAAACAUCAAAGUCUCUGAAUGCAUCGAGCUUCACCAUUCUGUGACCUGUCAUGGAUCGAGUCAAAAGUUUAAACACACUUACCAAGUGAUCAAUGACACCACCCUGAGUUUUGAGCAGCAAUCCGAUAGCAGCAGCACCACCAACACCACCAUCAUCUCUGUCGUCAUUCCCCUGAUUGUAGGCCUGCACUACAUUUUUAAAAAAAAAAAAAAAAAAAAAAAAAAAGGUAAAUAUGCAUCACCCUUACAUAGGCAGCUAAAUGAGGGAAGUUUAAAUAUUUGAAUCUGCUGUGUGAUGACUGUAACAUUAGACGUUGCACUGUGAUGUAGGGUGAAAUCAUUUGUGAAGGAGGGGGUUUUAAUGUUAAAAUGCUUUUCCUGCACGUUCACCUGUCCUGUUAAACCGCUGUAUGGUCUUGGCCAUCGUGCUGCAGCUCAGUGUCCGGUUCUUGGCAAUCUUCUUACAGCCUAGGCCAUUUUUAUGUAGAGCAACAAUACUUUUUUCAGAUCCUCAGAGUUCUUUGCCAUGACGUGCCAUGUUGAACUUCCAGUGACCAGUAUGAGGGAGUGUGAGAGCAAUGACACCAAAUUUAGCACCCAUGCUCCCCGAUUCACACCUGAGACCUUGUAACACUAACAAGUCACAUGACACCGGGGAGGGAAAAUGGCUAAUUGGGCCCAAUUUGGACAUUUUCACUUAGGGGUGUACUCACUUUUGUUGCCAGUGGUUUAGACAUUAAUGGCUGUGUGUUGAGUUAUUUUGAGGGGACAGAAAAUUUACACUGUUACACAAGCUGUACACUCACUACUUUACAUUGUAGCAAAGUGUCAUUUCUUCACUGUUGUCACAUGAAAAGAUAUAAUCAAAUAUUUACAAAAAUGUGAGGGGUGUACUCACUUUUGUGUGAUACUGUAUGUGUGUGUGUGUGUGUGUGUGUGUGUGUGUGUGUGUAUGUAUGUAGUGUGUGUAUAUCUAAAUGUGUGCAAUAUUUGUAUAUAUUUACAGUGAACCUGUUUUUACUUAUUCUUAAUUAACUGUUUUUAAACUCUCUCAUUUUAACUGUAAUGUUUAAGUGUCCUUUGUUGCUCUCUGAGAGUUGCCACACUAUAUUUCAUCGUAUUGCAUACAACAACAAAGUGUUUUACACUUAGUGUAAGAGUUAAACCUUAACUACUGGAUGUAGAUAAACAGGACUGAUUGAAACAAAUAUGGCUAUAUAGAUGUUUUUGAUGGAUAAAUAAAUAGUUAGGGCUGUCUAUUGAUUAUUUUGAUAAUUGAUUAGUGCACCAUUGCCUUCUAUUAAAUAAUCUAGUAGUUGAUAUCGUAUAGCAUCUUAAAACCUACUUAUUAAAUGUUAAAUUGUUUUUUUACCUAAUAUUCUGACUAUUUAAUGAAAAAAAAAUGUUUUUUUUGUGUAUAUACAAUUUAAAAAUCCUGAAUUGUAUCUGUAGCAUUACUGUUUUGUUUGUGUGUUUACUGUAAGGGAGACAAAGAAGAGAAAUUUAAAAUGGCAAAUUCUUAAUCUCAAUUUAAAAUGCACUUUAUUAAAUAAUUUGACUAAUUUGUAAUGGCUAAGAGCCGUUGAUGAAAACAGAAUGUAGGAUUUAAUGUUGCAAUGUUCCAAAUACAAAGUUUGUACUUAUACUGAUACUUGUUAUUGUCAGAGGUGGUUCGAGUAUCAAAAAUAGUAACUCAAGUUAAAGUACCAUUACUUAGAAAAAUACGCCAAUCUGUCCAAGUAUGUUCUUGAUUAAGAGUAUGACUGUAUCUAGUUAAAAAUUAAG